GUCCACGCCGUAAACGAUGUCAACUAGCCGUUGGGUCUUUUGUUAGACUUAGUGGCGCAGCUAACGCAUUAAGUUGACCGCCUGGGGAGUACGGCCGCAAGGUUAAAACUCAAAUGAAUUGACGGGGGCCCGCACAAGCGGUGGAGCAUGUGGUUUAAUUCGAUGCAACGCGAAGAACCUUACCUACCCUUGACAUGUCGAGAAUCUUUCAGAGAUGAGAGAGUGCCUUCGGGAACUCGAACACAGGUGCUGCAUGGCUGUCGU
Molecule: ribosomal RNA, 264 nt
Filed under: uncultured bacterium
Lineage: Bacteria
Description: partial 16S ribosomal RNA
Rfam family: Bacterial small subunit ribosomal RNA
Source: RNAcentral